Molecule: long non-coding RNA, 4705 nt
Filed under: Brachypodium distachyon (stiff brome)
Lineage: Eukaryota; Viridiplantae; Streptophyta; Magnoliopsida; Poales; Poaceae
Description: long non-coding RNA (BDIS_LNC005821)
Source: RNAcentral
UUUUUCCUUUGCCUCUGACCCUUUCUUCUGCAUUUUUUCUUCUGUUUUUCCUUGACUGACCUCAGAGCGAGAAAUGGGGACGCGGGGGAAGGAGAGGAGGCGAUUUUGCUUGCCGGAGGCUGCCUUCCCCGUCCGGUGAGCUUCCCAUUCGUUUUCUGGUAUCCCCGUCCUACCUCCUCCGUGCGGCCCUCGCGGGGUCGGCGUCGUCUGUUCCUUCCACCUCGACGGCGACGGCGAGGCGAGCGGCGCGUGCUGGCCCGGCCCUCGAGGCGCCCACCGGGAGACCCUAGAGACGGCGCCGGGGAUCGUCUCCGGCCUUGUCCUCUGUCUCCUCUCACCUCCUCCCGCUCCGCAAGUUCUCCGCUGAGCCGCGGCCGCCGGAGGAGGGAGGCGGAGCGGAGAAAGCUUGGGGGCGGCGGCGGCGGAGCACCUCGGCGGCUCGGCUUCCCUCUGCCACCCGCCUGAUUCUCUUCUGCCGUGGUUAAUUUCUUUUCCCGUCCAAUCUCUUCUGCAGUGGUCGAUUCCCCUAUCUCCCGCUCAAUUCUCUUCUGCAGUAGUCGAUUUCCUCCCGAUUCCCCCAAAACUCCCGACAAUUCACCCUGGGCAAGCGCCACUAGCACCCCAGUCGAUGCACAAGCAGGCGGGGCGUCACUCUUAACUUAAAAUUUCUGGGUGUCGCUCCCAGUCGUCGUGUCCAGCGCGACUGGACGGCGUUAGCGUCUUCUAGGCGACGUUUAGACGAUGACAUGAAAACCAUGCACUUGGCACAUAUUGUCAUAUAUGCUUCUUGUAUUUAGCUUGCUCUGUGUGUAAGCUAAUUUGGUUGCAGCUACUAUAUGCAGGAUGAAGAACUUGCACGGUAAGUGUCUAUGCUGCUGUUUGUAGUUCUCUCUUUCGGUAUAAGAAUGUUUCACUUCACUAAGAUUUUUGGGACUCUAGUGUUGAUUGGUAAGUUUUUGAAAUCAAGUGUCUAUGCUGCUGUUUGUAGCUCUUCCUUUUGGUAUAGUAAUGUUUCUGUUCACUAAGAUUUUUCAGACUGAAGUGUUGACUGGCUAGUCUUUGAAAUGGACUUGAAACUUUCAUUUUUCUGAAAGCAUUGGCCAUUUUGUAUUUUCUACUGAAGCGCUGGAGGACUACUUUUAUCAUUAGAUUCUGUCUUUUCAUGUUAUUACCAGUUGAAAACCCACUUUACCCUUCUCCUGGACUCAACUAAGCUUGCUAAGGCUGCUUAGAUUUAGAGUUAUGUAAUGCUUUUCUCAACUAUAUUCUUAUUCUAACAUCAUCACUAGAUAAGGAUGUGUACUUAUGAAAAGAUGCCCUUGUACAUGUUUGGAUUGAGAUAGAUUCAAAUUGCACUCUGUAUAAGUUCUAAAAGCAAUGAUAAUUGCACCGUUGCAUUUUCAGAUUUCUGUAUAAUUUCAAAUAUUACGCAUCUAGCUUCUUUUCGAUUUUGACAUUUUUGUUAAAUGCUCUGUCUAUAUCCUCUACCAAGAUUUUUUGAAUUUGAUUUGCACCCAUUUCUUAUGGUUGCAAUUGUAGCCUUUACCUAUAUUUUUAAUAGUUUUUCUGCAAUUACAUCCUUUGAUUCUGAAGCUAAAUAACCUAAGCCAAUAUAUGUUGAACUGUAGUAAUCAAACCAUGUAUUGAAGGUUUCGGGUUGAGGUUUGGGUGUUAGGGGACAUGUUAACUCAUCUACAAGCUUCAAAUGGCCACCAAUUCCGAUUUGCUGUGUAUUUGCUAGGAUCGGCACCAUGCUGCUCAUAAUAUCACCAUUUGGUAGGUCAAUGAAAUCUAUUGGUAAGCAACAAUGCUAGCAAAAGAACUUGGUUAAACUUGAGUUAGCAAAACAGAUCUGAUCAUGGUUCCUCGUUUCUGUUGUUUCUCCCUGCUGCAGCGACGUAGGGGGAAUGAGAUCAAGGGGAGCAGGAGCAAACACAAUACCUUGGCGUCUCCAUGUUGAGGUUAGUCCCCAUUCGCCUUGACCUUCCAGUCCCCGCUGGUGCUCUUCUUCUUCUUCCUUUCUUUUUUUGUUUUUUUCCUAUUAUUUUUCUUAGCCGCCAUGGCCUACGGACAUCUAUCUCAGUGAGGAUCUGUGUAUUUCCUCCCCUCGAGCUUUUCUCUAGGAUUCCAUAAUACAGUGGCAAUAUGUAUUAAAUGGGCUAGAUCUUUAAUGGGCAUGUUCACUUCAUUAUUGGGCUUCAUUAAUUCUGUUAAAUAAAACUGGCAUGUGCGUAGUUUAGUCUUCUUAUUUCUUACAAUGGCCAAUCUGAACCUUUUGUCUAACUCUCUGUCUCUUUGUUCUUUUUUGAACUUGCAUAGACUACUUUUUGAUUCAGAAUUUACAAAUUAGUAAUUCUGAACCCUCUUCUGUUUGUUCAGGUAUUAUGUUGUUAAAUUUGUUUUGGGGUUUUCCAGUCAUGUUGAUUUUUGCAGUCAUUUGCAACUCCACCUUUUGUCUGCCUGUGUUAUUUUGGCUGUUAGCAGCUGCAAUUACAGUUUCCCAAACAUAUAUAACCCCAAUUGAAUUUUGAUUUUUUGAAACCUUUGAAAUUGGGAUACAGGGGCCAGUUACUGGUUUGACCGUCUAUGGAAUUGAAUUGAAAUAGUCCAGUUCAUUUUUUAUUGCAAUUACUACUUGCAACCAAGGUUCUUAUGAAGUGCAAUUGCAUUUGUUCACUACUGGAAUUCCACUCUAGUUUGUGUUGUUCCUUUUUUUGUUAGAUUUUUAGCCUUUGUUCUUUGAAGAUGAUAGGCACACAAUUCAUUGCACUUUAUUCCUUCUUCCAGCCUUUUAGAAGCAAGCGUGCCCCUGUUCCUUGCCUUAACUCAAUUGCAGGUAGUUUCAUGUGCGCAAUUCGAUGCCUUAUCAAAUGCAAUCGCAUUUGCUGAAUUCCAGAAUUGCACACCAGUUUGUGUCCAGGUUCAGGUUUUGAUUGAUACAUACGUGGACAGCUCCUUGUUGUGUAAGCAUUACAAUCACUGGAUUUGUUGUUGGUUUUUUUAUCUACCCAUUAUGCACCUCUGUAUCUUUUUCUUAGAUGGAUCUACUUGUGCUUUAUGGACAGUUUGGCGAUAGAAGGGACAGUAUAGCAAUGAAACAUGUAAUCAUCUUCUUCUUUUUUGCCCUGUUGUGAUCUGUUUUGUUUGCUGCUGUCAUUUAUUUAACUGAAAAUUGCAUGCACCUUACUUCUCGCAAUCGAGCAUUGUAUCAUAUGCAUUUGCAGUUGUUUAAUACUCGAAUUGCAGCCCAAUAUGUUUGUUGCUUCACUUUGUAGAUUUUGACUUCUGUUUUCGUUGCGUAGAUUGGUCUACUUAUGAUGCAUGGACAGCUUGGUGAGGGAAGGCAGGGUUUCCCUUGAAUCGGGCAAUGAAUAGGUAUUUAUUUUAUCUUUUUGCGCAAUCGGGGUUCUUAUGAACUGCAAUUGCAGUUAUGUGUCUCUGGGUUUGCACACUAGCCAUUCUCGUUGUCGAUUUUGAUUUUUCGUCCCGCCACAUGUGCAAAUGCUGAACCAGUCUCAAUUUGCAUGUCGAUUACUGUAAUUGGUUUCUUAUGAAUUGCAAUUGCAUUUCUGUGUCUCUAGGUUUGCACAGUAGCAAUUCUCAUUGUCUAUGUUGGUUUUUCGUCCAGCCACAUGCCCAAAGGAAAUCGGUCUCAAUUUUGUAUGUCGAUUACUAUGCGCAAUUGGGGUUCUUAUGAACUUAGCAACAAUCCUAGCAAUGAAAACGAUAAUGUGUGUGAUAUAUUCAAUUCAUGUAGCAGUGCCAUUGCAACUUUUUACCUGAGCACCUUUAAAUCUGAACAGUUUUACUGUUGCAAUCUCAGUUCUUUAUAAAUGCAAUUGAAGUGGAUUUCUUUUGGAAUUGCAUCCCAAUUAUAAUGUUUUUUGCACCUGUAGCGGUGCCAUUGCAAUUAUUUAGCUAAGCACCUUUAUGUAACUUGUGUUCUAUGCUUGAUAUAAAAAGCAUCAAUGCUUUGACCCAUACUUUGAUCCCUCCUGUCUGAAACACAUUGUUGCCCUUGCUGAAAUUGUGCAUAAGCUAAAUUAUUUGAAUAUACCAGGGAUUGAUCAUCUGUUGAGGUUUUGCAUACAACUUGAAGAUAAUAAACACAGUUAACAUAGGGCAUAGAUCAUUUUUGUGUGGUUUGAUGUAGAGUUUUCUCUGCAGGUGCCCUUUAUAUAUGUAUAGCUUUUGUGUGCUGCAGUUUUUGUACAUGUGUUAGGGGGGACACAUUUUGGAACUGAAGCAAUUUAGCCUAACUAAUUCAUUUUGAAUGAACUGCAGGAAUCAAACCAUAUAAGGGGUGUUUUGGGGUGGGGCUGGGUGUUAGGGGCAUGAUACCUCAUCUAUAAGCUGGGUAUCUCCACCAAAUAUACUUUGUUGUGUAUUCGCAAGAAUCAGCAUCAUUGUGCUAAUAAAAUCACGGCAAUUUGUAGGUCAGUGAAUUUGUAAGUAACUAUUCUAGAAAUGAAUGAUUUGUUGUGUAUUCGCAAGAAUUGGAUUUGUAAAUGAAGAUAAUGUUCUUACUUAAUAUGUUUCAUUAUGGACUCAGUCCAGAACAUGAAUUUUUUGGUUUGAAUUUGUCACUCAAAAGUUCAGAAGACCGCCAAUGUGACUGCUAUUUGUUCAAUGAUCAGGCGACUGGUUAUAUGCAUGUAUCUUGUGUUUUGACCUUCAUUGUUUCAAGUGACUGCUUUCUACUCAA